CUAUGCUUAGGCAAUAGGUCGCUGGCCAC
RNAcentral lists this non-coding RNA (29 nucleotides) under Mus musculus (house mouse). The record is from RNAcentral. Lineage: Eukaryota; Metazoa; Chordata; Mammalia; Rodentia; Muridae.